GAUGAACGCUGGCGGCGUGCCUAAUACAUGCAAGUCGAGCGAACAGAUAAGAAGCUUGCUUCUCUGAUGUUAGCGGCGGACGGGUGAGUAACACGUGGGUAACCUACCUAUAAGACUGGGAUAACUCCGGGAAACCGGGGCUAAUACCGGAUAAUAUUUUGAACCGCAUGGUUCAAUAGUGAAAGACGGUCUCGGCUGUCACUUAUAGAUGGACCCGCGCCGUAUUAGCUAGUUGGUAAGGUAACGGCUUACCAAGGCGACGAUACGUAGCCGACCUGAGAGGGUGAUCGGCCACACUGGAACUGAGACACGGUCCAGACUCCUACGGGAGGCAGCAGUAGGGAAUCUUCCGCAAUGGGCGAAAGCCUGACGGAGCAACGCCGCGUGAGUGAUGAAGGUCUUCGGAUCGUAAAACUCUGUUGUUAGGGAAGAACAAAUUUGUUAGUAACUGAACAAGUCUUGACGGUACCUAACCAGAAAGCCACGGCUAACUACGUGCCAGCAGCCGCCGUAA
Molecule: ribosomal RNA, 514 nt
Filed under: uncultured bacterium
Lineage: Bacteria
Description: partial 16S ribosomal RNA
Rfam family: Bacterial small subunit ribosomal RNA
Source: RNAcentral